Molecule: long non-coding RNA, 636 nt
Organism: Daphnia carinata
Lineage: Eukaryota; Metazoa; Arthropoda; Branchiopoda; Diplostraca; Daphniidae
Exons: 3
Source: RefSeq, a predicted model, not a curated record
GCGUCACUGUCGGAUCUGAUGUUGAUAUCCUGCUAGCAUGUUCCUAGAAAAGUCGGAAGCAAAAAAAUCGAAUGUUUCCGGCUUUUCAUACUUCUGUUGCGUACUAAAGGCUUGCAGUACAGUUUCUAGUAUAGGGAUCAACCUAUUGAUUAUCCAAAAAGAACAUGGUCUGGAAGAAGAAAGUUUACUCUAUCUGCUCAAGCUCAGUCAGGCCCGCCACCAUGGUGAAUGGAUUGCUUCUUCUUAUGUAAAAAACUGCAACAAGUGUGACUAGACAAUCAAAAUCAUAUCAAUAACAAAAGAAGAGGCAAUUUUUGUGAAACCAUGUUGAAUGAAGCCAAAUAUUCUGAUGCUGCUCUCAGCCUAAGAAAUGUUGAUACUCUGUGUUCCAGCUAGUAAGCCAUCUGUUCAUUUGAAAAACAAACAAGUAAACACGAUUGGCUGGAACAUUGAUAAUUUCUUCAAAUUAAAUUUUACACAAGGUAACAGCAAGAAGAAAUGUUGUUUCUCUACUACUUUUGGGGACUAACACUACAGCCAAUUGCACACCACAACUUCAGAAUACUAAGAAAUACUAAAAGCAAUGUUGUAUUUGACAUUAUUUCAGUGCAAUUAUAAGAAAACAGCUGGAUAUUG